Molecule: transfer RNA, 87 nt
Filed under: Candidatus Saccharimonadota bacterium
Lineage: Bacteria; Candidatus Saccharimonadota
Description: tRNA-Leu
Rfam family: tRNA
About the family: Transfer RNA (tRNA) molecules are approximately 80 nucleotides in length. Their secondary structure includes four short double-helical elements and three loops (D, anti-codon, and T loops).
Source: RNAcentral
GCGCGAGUGGCGGAAUUGGUAGACGCGCUAGCUUCAGGAGCUAGUAGGAGCAAUCCUGUGGAGGUUCAAGUCCUCUUUCGCGCACCA